AUCGAUUUGCACAAUCAGGCCGUGCCUUUGUUUCCGCAAACUCUACAGAGGCUUUUGUCAUCUGCACUGGAACACGCUGUAAAGUGGCAGUCCUCCUACAGACGGAUUUGGAACCAUAUUAUAUCGUUGUUAACACCAGGGGCCGUAUGUACGAGGGGCGGAUAAGUCCACUAUCCGAGAAUAGUGCCUAUCCGCCGGAUAAGUGGGGAAAUUUGGUAUGCAUGAAAGGAAAAUGGCCGCGCUGGUGUGUUGCGAUUCAGAAACAGGCAAAUAUGUCGACAAAACUGGUUAUUUCUUGAUCGAACAAAGCAAUUUGACACUUUUUAUAAUGUGGAAAAACAUGAAGAAUUUAAAUUUGAACAACAAGAUAUUCUGAAGAUCACAGAUGAAAUAGCGGGAAACAUCGAAGUGUCCAGUCGGUUGGGCGUGUUAACGUCGCUGUCAAAAAUCUACAAAAGUACAAGUUUGCAACACUUUCAAUAUGUCUACGGUAACUGAUCGGCAUACAUCAGUCAACAAUUUGGUGAGGACUGACAACACUCUUCAGCAGGUGCCAAACUACAAAACGAACAUGGCUGUAGCAAAUGGUGUCAUUCUGUAGCAAAUGGUGUCAUUCUGUCAAUGUGCAGGUACAUGGCACAUAAGUUGUAUACUCUGGUGCAUCUAAAGUGAGGAUAUAUACAGCUGGACAAAGUUCAAGCAAGGUGUUGAAUGUGUGCGUUUUGGAACCUUCUAAGAUUCAUAAAGUUAUUACGGUUUGUGUAAUGCUGCAUAACUGUGCUAGAAAGCUCCAUCUGAUUCAGAGAAAUUCAGUGACAGUGAUCAUCCAGGUUUUGUUUUGUUACAAGAUGAUAACUGAUAGGAAAGAGAUUUCAACCCAAGUGGUUCAUGAUGUUGAUAGCAGAGCUGUUAUUUACUAGUAAUACAUUUACUCUUAAAGACAGCUGUAGAUGACAAAGUAAUUUACAUGCUCUGUUAACACAAAAUGAUAUUCAUAUUUUAAAUUUUUCAUACAUCUUCAUUUUGAAUUUAAAUCAAUAUGCAACAGGAAAAUAAUGUUACAGUUAGAUGAUUAUAAUUGAGAACUUCAAUGCAAAACAAUUCAUAAAAUAAAGACAAAUUAACAAAAUAAUUAUGAAAAAUACAAAUAAAAAAUAAUUUUAAGUAAUAAUUUUUGUUCAUGUACAAUGCUGAGUAACUUUAAUUACAUGUUCCCUGUGACAUGUCACCCACUUUAAUUAACAAUUUAAGAUGUGUUUAUCUUAAGUUAUCUACACUUGGU
Gigantopelta aegis is the source of this 1282-nucleotide long non-coding RNA. RefSeq lists it as uncharacterized. The transcript is spliced from 3 exons. Lineage: Eukaryota; Metazoa; Mollusca; Gastropoda; Neomphalida; Peltospiridae. The record is from RefSeq and is a predicted model, not a curated record.